ACGGGCCGCCGUACGAUCGCGUUCACCGAAGUCCUGAGUUUGUCGAAGGGCGAAGGUGGAUGAGGAAAGUCCGGACUCCAUAGAACAGGACGCUGGAUAACGUCCAGGGUCUUCGAGACUAACGUUUCGGAGAUACGAAAAGUGCAGCAGAGAAUAGACCGCCCCUCGAUGAGCCCCUACGGGACUUACUCGGGAUAGGCCCUCGGGCCUGACCUGAGCGGAGUUUUCAUUUAUGAAAACAAAGUCGAAGGGUAAGGGUGAAAAGGUGCGGUAAGAGCGCACCGCGUGGCUGGGAACAGACACGGUCAGUGUAAACCCCGUUCGGAGCAAGGCCAAAUAAGCAGUGAAGAUCACAUGUGAAAGCAAGUGAUCUCGGAUGUGGUUCGCAUUCGUUGAACUGUGGGUAGGUUGCUUGAGGCUGCUGGCAACAGCAGUCCUAGAUAGAUGAUCGUAAUUCGCCUGAAACGGCGAUUACAAAAUCCGGCUUACAGGCGGUCCGUAUUA
This 504-nucleotide RNase P RNA is filed under the name Candidatus Lindowiibacteriota bacterium. Its description in RNAcentral is "RNase P RNA component class A". It matches the Rfam family "Bacterial RNase P class A". From Rfam's summary of the family: Ribonuclease P (RNase P) is a ubiquitous endoribonuclease, found in archaea, bacteria and eukarya as well as chloroplasts and mitochondria. The record is from RNAcentral. Lineage: Bacteria; Candidatus Lindowiibacteriota.